UACAUUAAGUUUGCUCACUCAAGGGAGUCUUGCUCAUCCCCUAUGAAAGGGGGUGGGAAAAUGACUGUUUACGAAUCAUUAAUGAUAAUGAUCAAUUUUGGCGGGUUGAUAUUAAAUACCGUCUUGUUGAUCUUCAAUAUAAUGAUGCUUGUAACGUCAAACCAAAAGAAAAAAUAGACCUCCCUUGAGACUGGAAUCCUGAAGGGUAAGGUCUAUCUAGAACAACACCGAGCAAGCCCUUUGACGGGCAGCUUUUUGUGCAAAUAGCGGCCUGUGGGUGUAAGCGCACCCCAG
This 294-nucleotide small RNA is filed under the name Bacillus subtilis. Its description in RNAcentral is "BsrG". It matches the Rfam family "BsrG". From Rfam's summary of the family: bsrE, bsrG and bsrH pair through intermolecular interactions with antisense sRNAs. SR4 interaction with the 3'UTR of bsrG RNA promotes bsrG degradation and inhibits its translation. Lineage: Bacteria; Bacillati; Bacillota; Bacilli; Caryophanales; Bacillaceae. RNAcentral also lists the same sequence under 1 other name. The record is from RNAcentral.